GACGAACGCUGGCGGCGUGCUUAACACAUGCAAGUCGAACGGAAAGGCCCUGCUUUUGUGGGGUGCUCGAGUGGCGAACGGGUGAGUAACACGUGAGUAACCUGCCCUUGACUUUGGGAUAACUUCAGGAAACUGGGGCUAAUACCGGAUAGGAGCUCCUGCUGCAUGGUGGGGGUUGGAAAGUUUCGGCGGUUGGGGAUGGACUCGCGGCUUAUCAGCUUGUUGGUGGGGUAGUGGCUUACCAAGGCUUUGACGGGUAGCCGGCCUGGGAGGGUGACCGGCCACAUUGGGACUGAGGUAAGGCCCAGACUCCUACGGGAGGCAGCAGUGGGGAAUAUUGCACAAUGGGCGGAAGCCUGAUGCAGCAACGCCGCGUGCGGGAUGACGGCCUUCGGGUUGUAAACCGCUUUCGCCUGUGACGAAGCGUGAGUGACGGUAAUGGGUAAAGAAGCACCGGCUAACUACGUG
RNAcentral lists this ribosomal RNA (468 nucleotides) under uncultured bacterium. Its description in RNAcentral is "partial 16S ribosomal RNA". It matches the Rfam family "Bacterial small subunit ribosomal RNA", at positions 28 to 507 of the family's 1533-position model. The record is from RNAcentral.